Long non-coding RNA from Carya illinoinensis, 2463 nucleotides. RefSeq lists it as uncharacterized. Lineage: Eukaryota; Viridiplantae; Streptophyta; Magnoliopsida; Fagales; Juglandaceae. The record is from RefSeq and is a predicted model, not a curated record. The transcript has 2 exons.
CUAAGUCUUUAUCCUUGCUUCAAUCCGUCGGUUUCUUUAAGCCAAGGAAAUUUUUUUUUUCUCACUUCCUCGAGCCGACGCCUACUCUCAUUUUCUCUCCUUCUUCCUUCAUCUUCAAAUUCAAGAGAAAAUCAAGAUUUCUUUCCAUUAUUCAAACCGUGUGAUUCCCAAAAGGAAGAAAGAAAUUUAUUUUCUCCAAACUGUACCAUAUAUCUCUUUUCCAUACCAUUUUGAGUUUUGCUCAUAGUUGGGAUUUCCAAGUUGCUUUCAUCUUCCCAAAAGUGAAGAAGUUGGGGGACUCAUAUUGACAAUUGGAAGUAUUGAGAAGCAUAGAGGUAAAUAGCUAUCACCAUGCUUCUUACACACAAAGCUCUCUUAUGAAAGAAUGUCUCUCUCUCUCUCUCUCUCUCUCUCUUCAAAUGUUUUUGUAAAGAAAUUGUAAAUGUAUAUACUAUGUACAAGCCUUUCUUGGUAGCCCCUAUUAAGCACCCUAUCGAUUAUGAUUGUUUGUAUGUGUAUAAGGUAAUGUAUGCACGUAGAUGCUAAGUCAUAAGAUUUUCAUACAUGCUCUCUCAAUGUAUUAACAUCUUAUUUAUACAUAGCACAACAUGAAAUGUUCUUUUUAAAAAAUAAAUGCAUAUGCAUCGGACUAAAAAAAGGUAAUGAAAAUUUUUAACUACCUGAAAAUCUGUUUAUGGAGGAAUGUUAAAUAGAAUGUCUACCAGGUGUUCCCUUUAUUAAAUUAAAAAUUUAGAGUAUACGCGUGUCAUGUUCAUGCUGAUGUCAUAUUACUACAACAACAACAACAACAAAAAAGAAGAAGAAGAAGAAGAAGAAGAAAGGACAAGUAUGUACGUAGCGAUUCCACCCUACUCAAGGCGGGGUUAUUACACUGCCCCUGCAACUUGAAAUGUCAUUGGUUGAUCAAAAUGGGUACAUAGGAUAAAAAGGAAAGCUAAUAGUGAGGUUGAACUCUAUAAGGAAAGUUUUGUUUCCAAGGGAUAUCUCCAUCAAUUUGGUAUUGAUUACUCCAAAACCUACAGUUCGAUUAUCAAACCAACAAUGGAGAUAACAAUUAUCUCCACUAUUGUGUCUUCAGGUUGGUCAAUUAGACAAAUUGAUGUGUGUAAUGCCUUUUUGCAUGGUACACUAUUAGAGGAGGUUUUCAUGACUCAAACUUCUGGUUAUCUUCAUCCACACUUUCCAAAUCACACUUGCAAGCUACAUAAAGCAUUGUAUGGACCAAAACAGUCCCCAAGCCUGAUUUUCCCAUAUAAGCAUUCCUUUAUUGGAGUUGGGCUUUCAUGGCUUACGUCCAAAUACUUCUAGAUUUAUUCACAACUCUACUAAGUUCAAUAUGUAUUUACUAAUCUAUCUCGAAGAUAUACUGAUUACCUGCUCAUACAAGCAUGUCGUUGAUGACUUAUUGAAUACUCUGUAUUAUGAUUUUGAAAUCAAGGACUUGGAUAGUUUGAAUUUUUUUCUGGGUCUCGAGGCACUCAACUCCAACGGCCAAAUCCUAUUAUUCCAUCAAUGCUAGUAUAUCAUGGAUAUUCUAAAAAAUACCAAAAUGCAUGAGGCCAAGCUAAUUGUUACUCCAAUGGCUAGUUCCAUCAAUCUAAGUGCCUUUGAUGGUGAGGGUUUAAGUGACACUACUCUAUUUCGUAUUACUAUUGGGGCCUUACAAUGUGUAUUAGUAACUAUCUCAUAUAUUGCUUUCACAUUCAAAAAAUUAUCUCAAUUCAUGCACAAACCAAAAUUGUCACAUUGGUAGACGACAAAGCAUCUUCUUCGAUGUUUAAAAUAGACAGUUAGCUAUGGUCUCUAGAUUUGAAAUCCAUAAAUACUAUUCUACAAGCAUUUUCGGAUGUCGACUGGGCGAACUCCCAUGAUGAUAGAUGAUCAACUAGAGGAUUUUGUAUGUUAUUAGGAUAGAAUUCAAUUUUAGGUAACUUCAAAAGGCAGGCUACAGUGGCUUGGCUGAGCACCAAGGUUGGGUAUAAGGCGUUGGCCAAUAUAAUAGCUGAAAUUCAUUGGCUUCAAUCCUUACUCUAGGAACUUGGUAUUAAACUCUCACAAUCCCCUAUCUUAUGGUGUGACAACAUAAGAGCAUGCAACGUAUUUGUUAGCAAAUCUAGUUUUCCAGGCUCAUAAAAAGCAUGUAUAAAUUGAUUUUUUCUUUGUCAAGGACAUGGUUGCCAAGAAACUCAUUGAGACCAAGUUUCUGUCUCUUAGCAGAUAUCUAAACAUAACCCCCCCCCCUCCCCCCGGGGGUGAGAUGUUAAGGAUAAAGAAUCCAAUCGUGACAAGUCAUCCAAGUUAAGAAGAUAUGCUCAAUUAGACUUUAUUAUUUUUUCCACUAGUGUUUCCAUUGUAACAGACUCUUAAUAGAACUCCAUAAACUUCCUAUAUAUAUAUAUAUAUAUAUAUUUUUAUGGAAAUAAACUUCCUAUAUUAAUAACA